Molecule: long non-coding RNA, 453 nt
Filed under: Brassica rapa (field mustard)
Lineage: Eukaryota; Viridiplantae; Streptophyta; Magnoliopsida; Brassicales; Brassicaceae
Description: long non-coding RNA (BRAP_LNC008347)
Source: RNAcentral
AUCACUAUCACUAUCAUACAUACGGUUUUGUCAAAAAAAAAAAAAAAAGAACACGAAGAACUGUGUUGUGUCGAAGAAGGAACCGCAAACCGAAAUCCUCUCACCCUUCGAAACCCUCGUCGACAUUGUUCUUUACUUCUUCGAACUCUCUCUAACUCUCUGUCGUUGAACUCUCUAUAACUCUCUGUCGUUGAACUCUGUCUCGUCGGAGUUUUUAGAAACCGUCGUCUGUACGAAAUCGCCUUCACCGCAUUCUCAUCAACGAGUUCAUCUUUUCCGGUAAGAUGUCGCGACGUUAUAUAUUGUAUUUUGGUUGAGUUUGUGGGUCAGUUAUAUAUUGAGGCUGUGAUAUGGGUGUGUCGAGGUUUUUGUUGCGACUGAGUUAGGGUUAUGUUGACUGUGCUAUGGGUUUGUCGAGGAUUUUGUUGUGUCUGAGUUAGGGUUAUGUUGCGG